GUGUAGUUUCAGGGAAGGUGAAAAUCCUUACUGGCGGUAACGAGGUAAUUCUUGUAUUAGUGAAUUUUCUCGAAGCCCGCGAGCGGCAACGCGCUGCUGAUUCGGUUAAAAUCCGAAGCCAACGGUUAAAGUCCGGAUGAAAGAAACGGAGG
RNAcentral lists this non-coding RNA (152 nucleotides) under Gardnerella vaginalis. RNAcentral's name for it is "FMN sequence". It matches the Rfam family "FMN riboswitch aptamer (RFN element)". From Rfam's summary of the family: The RFN element is a highly conserved domain that is found frequently in the 5'-untranslated regions of prokaryotic mRNAs that encode for flavin mononucleotide (FMN) biosynthesis and transport proteins. This element is a metabolite-dependent riboswitch that directly binds FMN in the absence of proteins. In Bacillus subtilis, the riboswitch most likely controls gene expression by causing premature transcription termination within the 5' untranslated region of the ribDEAHT operon and precluding access to the ribosome-binding site of ypaA mRNA. The record is from RNAcentral. Lineage: Bacteria; Bacillati; Actinomycetota; Actinomycetes; Bifidobacteriales; Bifidobacteriaceae.